Molecule: non-coding RNA, 1126 nt
Organism: Salvia hispanica
Lineage: Eukaryota; Viridiplantae; Streptophyta; Magnoliopsida; Lamiales; Lamiaceae
Source: RefSeq, a predicted model, not a curated record
AGGGCACACUUAGAAUUCACGCAUUUAUUCAAUUCACUCUGCGAAAUCUUCCCGUCGUUGCCGUUGCCACUCCAGCCCGUCGCCGCCGUUCGCCGCUCCAGCUCCGUCGCCGCCGUUCGCCGCUCCUGCUCCGUCGCCGCCGAUCGCCGCUCCAGCUCCAGCUCCGUUGUCGUCGCCCACUGUGCUCGAUCCACGCUGGUGCCUCGGUGUCCUUACGGGCACAGAUUUACGCUUUUCAUUCUGAGUGCGCGAAUCCUCCCCGCCGUAGCCGUCGCCACUCCAGCACGUCGCCCGCUCCAUUUUGCAACAACCGCGGUCGCCACUGCCACCAUGUGGCGGAAGAGAAGCCUGCGGUUGAUGAUUUCAAAGCCCUUGCCAUAGUUGAAAAGCCUGAAGAAAUUGAGGAGAGUAAACGUGAAGGAUCUAUGGGCAGAGGUACUCACUCUCACAGAUUUCAUUUUACUGGAAAUUCUUGUCUUGUGAAGAGAGUGAGAAGUCAAAAGCAGAAAACAAAAACAUCUACUAUGUUCAUAUCACAUAUUUGAUGUUUGCCUUACUACUGCGCGGCUGAAGCAGAUAAGUCAUUUGGACGCAACAUAUCCGAUGCUCAUUACAAAGUUUGUUUUAUGCUGGGAUGAACAUAAGUGGUACUAAUGGGGAGGUUAUCCCAGUGGGGGUUUCAAGUUGGUCCAAGUGUUGGGAUUAAAGCCGGAGACCACAUCUGGUGCGCAAGAUACCUGCUUGAGAGAAUUGCAGAACCAACUGGAGUUGUGCUCACUAUAGAUCCAAAACCAAUUGAUCUAUUGUCAAUUUGACGGUAGCUAGCUAAUCUAUUCUUGAUCGUUUGAUGGUUUAGGGACUGGAAGGGAGUAGAAUGUCACACCUAUUACAGACUUCAGCACCCUGAGCAUGAGAGAGGAAUUUCCAAGUGAACCAUCAGUGCAUGCGGAAAAGAGAAACGAGCGAAGGCUGACAGGAAAACACGAGACUGCCCGAACUGAAGAUUAUUCUACAUGAACAUAACGUUAUUUUGUUAUUAACUAAGUUUUAGAAUUUGCACUUAUACUCAAUUCUAUUAAACUUUGGUGUUAUGAGUAAUUUUGAGUAAUUAACGAGUAUUCGAGUA